Molecule: ribosomal RNA, 468 nt
Filed under: uncultured bacterium
Lineage: Bacteria
Description: partial 16S ribosomal RNA
Rfam family: Bacterial small subunit ribosomal RNA
Source: RNAcentral
GACGAACGCUGGCGGCGUGCUUAACACAUGCAAGUCGAACGGAAAGGCCCUGCUUUUGUGGGGUGCUCGAGUGGCGAACGGGUGAGUAACACGUGAGUAACCUGCCCUUGACUUUGGGAUAACUUCAGGAAACUGGGGCUAAUACCGGAUAGGAUCUCCUGCUGCAUGGUGGGGGUUGGAAAGUUUCGGCGGUUGGGGAUGGACUCGCGGCUUAUCAGCUUGUUGGUGGGGGAGUGGCUUACCAAGGCUUUGACGGGUAGCCGGCCUGGGAGGGUGACCGGCCACAUUGGGACUGAGAUACGGCCCAGAGUCGUACGGGAGGCAGCAGUGGGAAAUAUUGCACAAUGGGCGGAAGCCUGAUGCAGAAACGCCGCGUGCGGGAUGACGGCCUUCGGGUUGUAAACAGCUUUAGCCUGUGACGAAGCGUGAGUGACGGUAAUGGGUAAAGAAGCACCGGCUAACUACGUG